This 461-nucleotide ribosomal RNA is filed under the name uncultured Teratosphaeriaceae. RNAcentral's name for it is "eukaryotic LSU rRNA". The stretch from base 133 to 286 matches the Rfam family "5.8S ribosomal RNA". Lineage: Eukaryota; Fungi; Ascomycota; Dothideomycetes; Mycosphaerellales; Teratosphaeriaceae. The record is from RNAcentral.
CCCUUUGAUUUGAUCAAGACCUCCUUCUGCCUCGGGGGCGACCCGGACCUCGCGGUCCGCCGGUCCCCCCGGUGGUCACCAACCAAAACUCUGCAUCAAUUGUCGUCUGACCGUAUUGAAAAAUUCAAUCAAAACUUUCAACAACGGAUCUCUUGGUUCUGGCAUCGAUGAAGAACGCAGCGAAAUGCGAUAAGUAAUGUGGAUUGCAGAAUCCAGUGAAUCAUCGAAUCUUUGAACGCACAUUGCGCCCCUCGGUAUUCCGGGGGGCAUGCCUGUUCGAGCGUCAUUACACCACUCAAGCCUCGCUUGGUCUUGGGCGUCGCGGUCCGCCGCGCGCCCCAAUGUCUCCGGCUGAGCCGCCCGUCUCUAAGCGUUGUGAUAAACGAUCCGCUUGCGAGGCCGGGCUGGCUUGAUCGCCGUUAAACCCCCCAUUUUUACAGGUUGACCUCGGAUCAGGUAGG